This is a long non-coding RNA of Sapajus apella (tufted capuchin), 1334 nucleotides long. RefSeq lists it as uncharacterized. NCBI's taxonomy places the organism in Eukaryota, Metazoa, Chordata, Mammalia, Primates, Cebidae. The record is from RefSeq and is a predicted model, not a curated record. The transcript is spliced from 3 exons.
GAUCCCACCCACCUCAACCUCCCAAAGUGCUAGAAUUAUAGUAGUGAGCCACUGUGCCCGGCCCCUCUUGGUUUUUUAAUAGAAUGAUUAUUAUGAGAAGUAAUUAAUAAUUACUUAAGUAAUUUCCUAGUUAUUAAGAAGGAGUAAAAUUUGGAGAAUUGACUUUGAAAGAAAGGAACAACUUAGAUAGAAAGUAUUUUGCUUGUUUACCCUUAGAACAAAAAAUACUUACUGCAUUUUUGUAGGGAUCAGAUUGAAUUGCCUCCUAGAAAUAUGCUUACAAGAGGACAUUGCUUUGGUAGUCACCAAGGUUCAGAGCCAGUCUUCUCUGCCCUCAUUCCCAUUUUGUUGCCUGCCAUGUUGAGAGUGACUGCUCUAACGAGUAACAAUUAAUGAAGAGAAUGGCAUCUAUCCCUCAUAAAUGUUGCAGAGUAAAGAUAAUUAAGAAACAUUGUUCUAAGCUCCAUGCUAACUGUAUCAGGGAUCCCUACAGCUGCAAGGAACUGAAAACCUGCUGUCCAAUGACUUUAAGAAAUAUGAGUUUAUUUUUCUUACAUAACAAGAUCGACAGACUAGGGCUAUGCAGCACCAAUUUCAGCAAGGAUCAAGGCUUGUCCUGUCUUACCAUUUUGUUUUUAUUCUUUCGGUUGCAUCUCCAGGCAUUAUGUCCAUGCUCCAAGCAGCUGGAGGGGCAAAACAAAAGAAAAAGCCCUCUCCAGGGGCUUUUGCCUCUUUGGCCAGAGUAUCAGUGGCCACUCUUAUCUUCAGGAAGGCUGAAAGGUGGAGUAAUCAUGAUCUUCUCUUAUCCAUGAGAGAUAUGUUCCAAGACCCCCAGUAGACGCCUGAAACUAUGGGUAGUACCAAACCGUGUAUAUAUAUACUCGUUGGUGUAUAUGUAUUUUCCUAUACAUACAUACCUAUGAUCAAACUUAAUUUAUAAAUUAGGCACAGUAGAGAUUAACAGUAGCUAAUAAUAAAAUAGAACAGUUAUAAUAUCAUACUGUAAUAAAAGUUACGUGAAUGUGGUCUUUUUCUCUCUCUAAAUACCUUAUUGUGCUGUACUACAGGUAACUGAAACCACAAAAAGCCAAACCACAGAUGAGAUGAGAGUACUGUAUUUUAUCUCUACAGCUUUUACAACAGAGAAAGGAAAGGGAGAAGUGGUUGGGAGUGGGUGGUGAGUGAACCAGCCUAGACUGUCUGCCUUACCAACCUGAUGCCCUCUCUUCUGACUUUUGAUAGAGUUCAACACAGAUUAUUUGAUUUCUGCUUUUUUACUGCCGUUUUAUCCUUUUGCUUCCCAAAUUUAGACUCAAGGUACAGGUGUCUCUGUG